Molecule: ribosomal RNA, 444 nt
Filed under: uncultured bacterium
Lineage: Bacteria
Description: partial 16S ribosomal RNA
Rfam family: Bacterial small subunit ribosomal RNA
Source: RNAcentral
GUGAGGAAUAUUGGUCAAUGGGCGGGAGCCUGAACCAGCCAAGUCGCGUGAAGGAAGAAGGAUCUAUGGUUCGUAAACUUCUUUUGCAGGGGAAUAAAGUGCAGGACGUGUCCUGUUUUGUAUGUACCCUGAGAAUAAGGAUCGGCUAACUCCGUGCCAGCAGCCGCGGUAAUACGGAGGAUCCGAGCGUUAUCCGGAUUUAUUGGGUUUAAAGGGUGCGUAGGUGGUUUGAUAAGUCAGCGGUGAAAGUUUGCAGCUUAACUGUAAAAAUGCCGUUGAAACUGUCGGACUUGAGUGUAAAUGAGGUAGGCGGAAUGCGUGGUGUAGCGGUGAAAUGCAUAGAUAUCACGCAGAACUCCGAUUGCGAAGGCAGCUUACUAAGCUACAACUGACACUGAAGCACGAAAGCGUGGGGAUCAAACAGGAUUAGAACCCGAGUAGUCC